AUGCUCACUCUGGCAGCACAUAUAUAUUAAAAUUGGAACAAUAAAGAGAAGAUUAGCAUAGCCCUGUGCAAGGACUUGCAAAGUGUUGUUUUUUGUAUAU
Molecule: small nuclear RNA, 100 nt
Filed under: Neotoma lepida (desert woodrat)
Lineage: Eukaryota; Metazoa; Chordata; Mammalia; Rodentia; Cricetidae
Source: RNAcentral